GGGAGUGGCAGACGGGUGAGUAACGCGUGGGAACAUACCCUUUCCUGCGGAAUAGCUCCGGGAAACUGGAAUUAAUACCGCAUACGCCCUACGGGGGAAAGAUUUAUCGGGGAAGGAUUGGCCCGCGUUGGAUUAGCUAGUUGGUGGGGUAAAGGCCUACCAAGGCGACGAUCCAUAGCUGGUCUGAGAGGAUGAUCAGCCACAUUGGGACUGAGACACGGCCCAAACUCCUACGGGAGGCAGCAGUGGGGAAUAUUGGACAAUGGGCGCAAGCCUGAUCCAGCCAUGCCGCGUGAGUGAUGAAGGCCUUAGGGUUGUAAAGCUCUUUCACCGGAGAAGAUAAUGACGGUAUCCGGAGAAGAAGCCCCGGCUAACUUCGUGCCAGCAGCCGCGGUAAUACGAAGGGGGCUAGCGUUGUUCGGAAUUACUGGGCGUAAAGCGCACGUAGGCGGAUAUUUAAGUCAGGGGUGAAAUCCCAGAGCUCAACUCUGGAACUGCCUUUGAUACUGGGUAUCUUGAGUAUGGAAGAGGUAAGUGGAAUUCCGAGUGUAGAGGUGAAAUUCCUAGAUAUUCGGAGGAACACCAGUGGCUAAGGCGGCUUACUGGUCCCUUACUGACGCUGAGGUGCGAAAGCGUGGGGAGC
Molecule: ribosomal RNA, 643 nt
Filed under: Agrobacterium tumefaciens
Lineage: Bacteria; Pseudomonadati; Pseudomonadota; Alphaproteobacteria; Hyphomicrobiales; Rhizobiaceae
Description: bacterial SSU rRNA
Rfam family: Bacterial small subunit ribosomal RNA
Source: RNAcentral